Molecule: ribosomal RNA, 253 nt
Filed under: uncultured bacterium
Lineage: Bacteria
Description: partial 16S ribosomal RNA
Rfam family: Bacterial small subunit ribosomal RNA
Source: RNAcentral
UACAGAGGUCCCAAGCGUUGUUCGGAUUCAUUGGGCGUAAAGGGUGCGUAGGCGGCGCGGUAAGUCGGGUGUGAAAUCUCGGAGCUUAACUCCGAAACUGCAUUCGAUACUGCCGUGCUUGAGGACUGGAGAGGAGACUGGAAUUUACGGUGUAGCGGUGAAAUGCGUAGAUAUCGAGAGGAACACCGGUGGCGAAGGCGGCCAACUGGACAGAUACUGACGCUGAGACACGAAAGCGUGGGGAGCAAACAGG